UUUUUUUUUUCUUGAAUUUGGGAAUCUGUUGUUAGCCUUUCUGAGUUGACAUAUUAUGUGCGCAAGGUGCCUGAUGGAUGUUUGUGAACAUGUGGGAUGAUUUUCUAGUAUAUUUCUUAGCAAAAUUUUGUAGUCUUUUGCUCUGAAGUUUUUGGAAUUAUUGUGUUGGAUUAGGCAUCAUUUAUGAAGAGUGCUAUCAAAAGUAUAUUUUUGUUGCAUGCUUGCAAAUUAUGAAAAAUAAAUAAUAUUGCAUGUUAUUGAAGUUUAGCAAGCAG
RNAcentral lists this unclassified non-coding RNA (275 nucleotides) under Hevea brasiliensis (rubber tree). Lineage: Eukaryota; Viridiplantae; Streptophyta; Magnoliopsida; Malpighiales; Euphorbiaceae. The record is from RNAcentral.